UAACUUACCUGGCAGGGGAGAUCCCAUGAUCCUCUGAGCCAAGCAAGUGUAAUUAUAGGGUGAGGCCUGCCCCUUGCACUCUAGACAGGCUGACCCCUGUGAGCUUCCCCAAUGCAGGAAACUCAGCUGCACAGUGUUGUGGUAAUGGAGGAUUGCGUUCUUGCUUUGCCUGUG
RNAcentral lists this small nuclear RNA (174 nucleotides) under Crocodylus porosus (Australian saltwater crocodile). RNAcentral describes it as "U1 spliceosomal RNA (ENSCPRG00005002503.1)". It matches the Rfam family "U1 spliceosomal RNA". Rfam says of the family: U1 is a small nuclear RNA (snRNA) component of the spliceosome (involved in pre-mRNA splicing). Its 5' end forms complementary base pairs with the 5' splice junction, thus defining the 5' donor site of an intron. The record is from RNAcentral. Lineage: Eukaryota; Metazoa; Chordata; Crocodylia; Crocodylidae.